This 456-nucleotide ribosomal RNA is filed under the name Staphylococcus aureus. RNAcentral's name for it is "bacterial SSU rRNA". It matches the Rfam family "Bacterial small subunit ribosomal RNA", at positions 1077 to 1533 of the family's 1533-position model. The record is from RNAcentral. Lineage: Bacteria; Bacillati; Bacillota; Bacilli; Caryophanales; Staphylococcaceae.
GGGUUAAGUCCCGCAACGAGCGCAACCCUUAAGCUUAGUUGCCAUCAUUAAGUUGGGCACUCUAAGUUGACUGCCGGUGACAAACCGGAGGAAGGUGGGGAUGACGUCAAAUCAUCAUGCCCCUUAUGAUUUGGGCUACACACGUGCUACAAUGGACAAUACAAAGGGCAGCGAAACCGCGAGGUCAAGCAAAUCCCAUAAAGUUGUUCUCAGUUCGGAUUGUAGUCUGCAACUCGACUACAUGAAGCUGGAAUCGCUAGUAAUCGUAGAUCAGCAUGCUACGGUGAAUACGUUCCCGGGUCUUGUACACACCGCCCGUCACACCACGAGAGUUUGUAACACCCGAAGCCGGUGGAGUAACCUUUUAGGAGCUAGCCGUCGAAGGUGGGACAAAUGAUUGGGGUGAAGUCGUAACAAGGUAGCCGUAUCGGAAGGUGCGGCUGGAUCACCUCCUUU